Molecule: non-coding RNA, 80 nt
Filed under: Legionella shakespearei DSM 23087
Lineage: Bacteria; Pseudomonadati; Pseudomonadota; Gammaproteobacteria; Legionellales; Legionellaceae
Description: Legionella RNA 69
Rfam family: Legionella RNA 69
Source: Rfam by way of RNAcentral
AGACAGCGCUAUCGCGCUUCCUCAGCCCGAACGGCAUCGAAGUAACGACUGGAUCAACAACUUCUUAUCCUAAACUUACG